This 329-nucleotide unclassified non-coding RNA is filed under the name soil metagenome. Its description in RNAcentral is "partial contains 5.8S ribosomal RNA, internal transcribed spacer 2, and large subunit ribosomal RNA". The stretch from base 1 to 120 matches the Rfam family "5.8S ribosomal RNA", at positions 35 to 154 of the family's 154-position model. The record is from RNAcentral.
GAUGGAGAACGUAGCGAAAUGCGAUAAGUAAUGUGAAUUGCAGAAUUCAGUGAAUCAUCGAAUCUUUGAACGCACAUUGCGCCCCUUGGUAUUCCGAGGGGCAUGCCUGUUCGAGCGUCAUUAUAACCCCUCAAGCUCAGCUUGGUGUUGGGGCCUGCUGCACUGGCAGCCCUUAAAAUCAGUGGCGGCGCCAUCUGGCUCUAAGCGUAGUAAUUCUUCUCGCUAUGGAGUCCUGGUGGAUGCUUGCCAUCAACCCCCAAUUUUUCUAUGGUUGACCUCGGAUCAGGUAGGGAUACCCGCUGAACUUAAGCAUAUCAAUAAGCGGAGGA